RNAcentral lists this ribosomal RNA (498 nucleotides) under uncultured bacterium. Its description in RNAcentral is "bacterial SSU rRNA". It matches the Rfam family "Bacterial small subunit ribosomal RNA", at positions 38 to 518 of the family's 1533-position model. The record is from RNAcentral.
UAAACGACUGGACGGCGUGCCUAAUACAUGCAAGUUGAACGGAGAGCUUCGGCUCUUAGUAGCGAACGGGUAGAGUAACGACGUAGGCGAACCUAGCCCUGUUGACUGGGAUAACAAGACGAAAGACUUGCUAAUACCGGAUGAUAACGUGUAUCGCAUGAUAUAUGGAUGAAAGUUGGGACACAACACAACAGGAUGGGCCUGCGGCGCAUUAGCUAGAUGGUGAGAUAGCAGCCCACCAUGGUAAUGAUGCGUAGCCGAUCUGAGAGGAUGUACGGCCACAUUGGAACUGAGACACGGUCCAGACUCCUACGGGAGGCAGCAGUAGGGAAUUUUCGGCAAUGGAGGGAACUCUGACCGAGCAACGCCGCGUGAACGAAAAGAAGGCCUUCGGGUCGUAAAGUUUUGUUGUUUAGGAUGAAAGAUGCCUGUAGGGAAUGACAGGCAAGUGACAGUACUAGACGAGGAAGUCACGGCUAACUACGUGCCAGCAGCCGC